AGAACGAACGCUGGCGGCAUGCCUAACACAUGCAAGUCGAACGUGAUCCAUGACUUCGGUUGUGGUGAAAGUGGCAAACGGGUGAGUAACGCGUGGGAAUCUGCCCAGAGGUAGGGAAUAACCGCGGGAAACUGCGGCUAAUACCCUAUGUGCCCUACGGGGCAAAGAUUUAUCGCCUUUGGAGGAGCCCGCGUCGGAUUAGGUAGUUGGUAGGGUAACGGCCUACCAAGCCUACGAUCCGUAGCUGGUCUGAGAGGAUGAUCAGCCACACUGGGACUGAGAUACGGCCCAGACUCCUACGGGAGGCAGCAGUGGGGAAUAUUGGACAAUGGGGGCAACCCUGAUCCAGCAAUGCCGCGUGAGUGAUGAAGGCCUUCGGGUUGUAAAGCUCUUUCGGCGGGAAGAUGAUGACGGUACCGCAGAGAAGCCCGGCUACGUCGUGCCAGCAGCCGC
This 453-nucleotide ribosomal RNA is filed under the name uncultured bacterium. RNAcentral's name for it is "SSU rRNA". It matches the Rfam family "Bacterial small subunit ribosomal RNA", at positions 26 to 518 of the family's 1533-position model. The record is from RNAcentral.